This 497-nucleotide ribosomal RNA is filed under the name uncultured bacterium. RNAcentral describes it as "partial 16S ribosomal RNA". It matches the Rfam family "Bacterial small subunit ribosomal RNA", at positions 28 to 507 of the family's 1533-position model. The record is from RNAcentral.
GACGAACGCUGGCGGCGUGCCUAAUACAUGCAAGUUGAGCGCUGAAGGUUGGUACUUGUACCAACUGGAUGAGCAGCGAACGGGUGAGUAACGCGUGGGGAAUCUGCCUUUGAGCGGGGGACAACAUUUGGAAACGAAUGCUAAUACCGCAUAAAAACUUUAAACACAAGUUUUAAGUUUGAAAGAUGCAAUUGCAUCACUCAAAGAUGAUCCCGCGUUGUAUUAGCUAGUUGGUGAGGUAAAGGCUCACCAAGGCGAUGAUACAUAGCCGACCUGAGAGGGUGAUCGGCCACAUUGGGACGGAGACACGGCCCAAACUCCUACGGGAGGCAGCAGUAGGGAAUCUUCGGCAAUGGACGAAAGUCUGAGCGAGCAACGCCGAGUGAGGGAAGAAGGAUUUCGGAUCGGAAAACUCUGUUGGUAGAGAAGAACGUUGGUGAGAGUGGAAAGCUCAUCAAGUGACGGUAACUACCCAGAAAGGGACGGCUAACUACGUG